Long non-coding RNA from Ipomoea triloba (trilobed morning glory), 705 nucleotides. RefSeq lists it as uncharacterized. The record is from RefSeq and is a predicted model, not a curated record. NCBI's taxonomy places the organism in Eukaryota, Viridiplantae, Streptophyta, Magnoliopsida, Solanales, Convolvulaceae. The transcript is spliced from 3 exons.
AACUCGGUUUAACUAACUCCUUACUGUACCAGGAAACUCGCCAAAUAUCCUGGAGAGAAUGAGCUGAAUGUUUUUAAGCUGUUAUCCGUUUAUGUAGAGGAACCUUUAGCAGCAAGGAAAUUUGUUGAUGUUUUGCUUCCACUUUUAUCAAAGAAAUCUCAUGCUUGUGAUAUUUGUGUGGACACACUGCAGAUCAUCAAGAAUAUAGCAAGACCUUUAGGGAAUGAAAGCAUUAAAAAGAUUCUCAAAUCGAUUUCUCCACUUCUCAUUUCUGGUGAUCUUGAUGUCCGGGGUUCUGUUUGUGAUGUUCUUGAUGCUCUUGCCAGAAAUGAUUCAUCAUUACUUAAUUUGGCAAAACUUCUUCGUGAACUGAAUGCAACCUCUGCUUCAGAGAUGGGUGAUCUUGAUUAUGAUACUAUUAUUCUGCUUAUGGAAAGUUGAAUGCAGAUUUCUUCCACAAUGUUGAAGAAGAACAUGCAUUAAUUAUUUUGUCAAAUUCUAUACGUGACUUGUCAUCUGAAGAUUUGAUUCUCAGGCAGAGUGCAUUUAGAUUGUUGUCAUCAUUUGUUGAAUAUUCUGGUCAAAUUCUUGAACAAGAAAUGAAACCUGAACGAGGGUGUUCUGGAUCCUGGGUUAUGUACAUAAUAAACAACUUUCUCUUAAAGCACAUGGGAAAUGCAAUGAACAAAGAAGGUGCAGCUCAAA